This 492-nucleotide ribosomal RNA is filed under the name uncultured bacterium. RNAcentral's name for it is "partial 16S ribosomal RNA". It matches the Rfam family "Bacterial small subunit ribosomal RNA", at positions 31 to 507 of the family's 1533-position model. The record is from RNAcentral.
AGGGAACGCUGGCGGGAGGCCUAACACAUGCAAGUCGAACGGCAGCACAGUAAGAGCUUGCCCUUACGGGUGGCGAGUGGCGGAUGGGUGAGGAAUACAUCGGAAUCUACUUUUUCGUGGGGGAUAACGUAGGGAAACUUACGCUAAUACCGCAUACGACCUACGGGUGAAAGCAGGGGAUCUUCGGACCUUGCGCGAUUGAAUGAGCCGAUGUCGGAUUAGCUAGUUGGCGGGGUAAAGGCCCACCAAGGCGACGAUCCGUAGCUGGUCUGAGAGGAUGAGCAGACACACUGGAACUGGGAAACGGUCCCGCCUCCUACGGAAGGCCGCAGUGGGGAAUAUUGGACAUUGGGCGCAAGCCUGAUCCAGCCAUACCGCGUGGGUGAAGAAGGCCUUCGGGUUGUAGAGCCCUUUUGUUGGGAAAGAAAAGCAGCAGGUUAAUACCCCGCUGUUCUGACGGUACCCACAGAAUAAGCACCGGCUAACUUCGUG